Molecule: long non-coding RNA, 5488 nt
Filed under: Sus scrofa (pig)
Lineage: Eukaryota; Metazoa; Chordata; Mammalia; Artiodactyla; Suidae
Description: lncRNA (ENSSSCG00000057736.1)
Source: RNAcentral
CACUUGCGGCAUAUGGAAGUUCCCAGGCUGGGGGUCAGAGCUACAGCUACCGGCCUAUGCUACAGCCACAGCAAUGCCGCAAUGCUGGAUUUCCCAACCCACUGAGCAAGGCCAGGGAUCGAACCCACAUCAUCACGGAUACCAGCUGGAUGCGUUUCCAUUCCUCCACAGCACUUCUGAACGAUGCCUAGGUGAUUUCCUCUUGCUGGCAAAAAAACUAGACGCAAGAACACUGGGCGAUUGUCUUGUCUUUUCAGUUUCUCUAGGGAGAGACAACUCUGCCUUCUAAAGAAAGUGAUAAUGCAAAGAAGGAAGAAGAGGCUGAAAAUCCCAGGCAGCUAAGAAAAGUAACAAAUGUCUCCUACAAAGAAAUACAUUAAACACCUACCGGAGGAAGUCAGGCUACUUGGCCAACAUCAAGUAAUCUGGUGCUUGGCAGGACAGUAACUCAAACUGGAGUCACGCUGAGGCCAUGCCCAGGUCCACCACCACCAAUAUCCACCUCUCAACUCUUCCUCUUGCUCCUCACAACCAGAGGGCAAAGGACUGAAUGAACAUCCUCAGUCUGGAUCAUCAUAAAGCUAAAUAAGGAGUACUGAUCAAUCCAGAUUUAAGUGCUAAGGUUUUCCUCUGAGAUGCAGAUAUGUGGCCCAAGAAGAAGAGCCCAGCCUUCCCACCAGAAGGAAACUCUCGGUUCCACGAAAGCAGGUUUUGCAAAAUAUUCAGUUCCACUCUUGAGAUGUAAGCAAACCCUUGUCACAUCCCUAUGCUAAGUCCAAAACCCAAAUCUUAAUUUCCGUUGUGGGAAUAAGGAGUGGUCCGUAUGAGAAUAAAAUAUACUACUGACCAAAGGGAAGGGGAGGAAAAGGGAGUCUAAUUUGGACAUUGCUAAAAUAAAACCGGGGAGCAAGGCCCACAGCUGCCUCCCCAGGAAGUCCUAUUAACGCAGACAAUGGCCCAAUUGUUCUCCCUGCCUAAAGAAACUUUGCAGCCUCCAACCUGGGGGCCACUCACUGUCUUUUUCUAUUUCUUUCCUUGAAACACAAUUUAUUGGAAAUACUGCCAGAUCUCCAGGGGGAAACAAAAGGCUGGCAGUAAAAUGAAACACCUAAUUAACAAGGGGAACGGCUCCACUGUUGCCAGAGAACUUUCUGCAAGACUCGGGGCUCCUUGAGGAAAGAGGUUAGGGGAGGGGGUCCCAGGGAGCACGGGACAGCUAUGAUUGUGCACACCAUGGUGGCAGAAGGUAGCAUAGAGUAGUGGUAAUGAGCGUUGGCUUUGGUGUCAGGCUGCCUGCGUUCAAAUCCCACCAUUGCCACUUACUUGGACAAAUGGCAUAACCUCUCUGGGCCUAUAAAAGGUGGGUAAUUGUAGUCCUUCCUAAGGUUAUUGUAAAAGUCAAGCAAGUUAAUUAUUUGAAGUGGUUGGAAAAGCAUACCUAAGACUGUUGGCGAAGUUCUAGCUAUUACGGCUAAAUGUUAGCUAAGUCCACUGUUACACACAUCACCUCACUUUAGUCCUGCAACAACUCUGGGGGAGGGAUCGUUACACCCAACUCACAGGGUUGGUGGUGAAAUGGAAAGUUGAGCUCUCUGCCACCUCGGCAGAGGUAGGCCCACAAUCCACAGUUGCACAAUUUUAGAUAUAUUUCCAGAAUAUCAUGCUGCCGGAAUUCCCGUCGUGACUCAGUGGUUAAUGAAUCUGACUAGGAACCAUGAGGUUGCGGGUUUGAUCCCUGGCCUUGCUCAGUGGGUUAAGGAUCUGGCAUUGCCGUGCGCUGUGGUGUAGGUCGCAGACGCGGCUCAGAUCUGGCGUUGCUGUGGCUCUGUCGUAGGCUGGCAGCGACAGCUCCAAUUAGACCCCUAGCCUAGGAACCUCCAUAGGCCAUGGGUGCAGCCCUAGAAAAGACAAAAAAAAAAAAGAAUAUCAUGCUGCCCACUUCCUCUGCAAGAAGGAUUUCUCGUCACUGUGUCCAUCGGCAGCCUCAGAGGUGUCACUGGCCCCAGAGUCCCCUGCGCCUGUGCUGGUGGACAAAUACCCACCACCAGGACGGUGGAGAGAGGGCCUGGGGACAAGUAACCCACCGCAGACAGUAUCUGGACUGUUCGAGUUCAAGAGAGGAGAUUAAAGAGGGUGGACAAGAGAAACACAAGAGAGAAAGAACAGGGUGAGAGAGGGGAACCAUCAGCUCCAUUUGUGUGCAUUUAUGUUUGUUUUUACAUCUGUGUCCAGCCUUGAUUUUUGGGGUUGACACAGCAGGAGAAAAUGGAGUCUCACUUGGGGAGGCACGUUUCUAAUGAGUCUCCUUGAAGUCUCAGCCCCGUGACUUUUUCUACUCAUAUUUAUCAUUUUUCAAAACAGUAUAAGGCCUUGGCAACCAGCCUACUUCUUUCUCCAGCACUCCCCCCAACACCUGCCUUCUGCAGAAAACCAUCAGGUAGAGCAUCUGACAAAAUGCUUUUGCAUCGUUAAGUGUUCAACCUUCUAAGAUGGUUCCAGGACCAGCAGGGCACUGGUUCCCAGUGGAUGGAUUGCAUGGCCAAAAGCAGCCGCUCCCCUGGGGUUUGAGAAGAAUGCAUUUGUGCAACCCUUUUCCCUUCCUUCCUCUCCUUCCCACUAGGAAGCCCUCUCCUCUGCCAAGCUGGCCAAGCCUGCAGGCCUGUCGCAUUUGCGUGUGUGUUUGUGUGGAUAUGUGAGUGUCUUCCCACUGGGAAGCUGGUACAUCAAGUCCCACCCCAAACCCCACCCCCAGCCCCAAAUUAAAACAAGCUGGUUGCAAUUGCGAGCCAGCCCAGCUCACACCAGCUGCUCGCGGCUUCAGAAAAUGCUGUUUCAUGUUCAGAGGCAAAUGACUAUUUCCUCUCCAGAGCGUGCCUGAACUGUGUUCCAAUCUGAAUGGGGAGGAGAAGAGAACAGAGGCUCUGCAAAUGCAUGUGGCCAGGGCUGUCAGGAUGGAUUAUGCUGCCCGGAAGCUUCCCUGCAUUCACAGAGUGGUCAGUGCCUCCAAGAGGAGCAGAGGGCGGAAGAAAGCAGAUGUUCCCAGAGUCGCCUGCUGCUGUGCCUGCACCCAUCCCGCCGCCAGCUCACAGGGACCAGCUCUCAUAGCCUCUGAACUAGUUCUCCUGCCUUCCGGCGGCCCUCCUCGAUCUAUCCCAUAGGCCUGCCUUCAUCACUCAUUCAUUCAUUCACACAUCAGUCAUUGGACACCUAACUGGGCCAGAUACUGUUGCAGGCACAGGGGACACAGCAAGAAUCACAUGGGGGAGCAGGGAGGAAUCUGUCCUUAGGAGGCUUACGUUCUAACGAUACUUCUCACGUGUCAUUCUCAUCUCAUGUCACUCCUCUAUACUCAAAAGUCCUCAAUGGCUCCCUAUGGCCAGCUGAAUAAAUAGUAAACUUCUUAAUGCAGACCUGGCCCUCCAGGCUCACACCUGCAUCCACUUGGUCAGUGUUAAGUUUCCUUCUUCACCAUCUAUGACCCAGUCAUGAGCGUUGGGCUUGCAAGCCCUGUGCUUGCCUAUCCACGAGACCUAAGAAGGAACUGGGAGUCAGGACAGAGAGCUCAAUGGUUUAAUGGAUGGGGGAGCUCCCUGUCUGAAGCAUGGUCCCUGGGGUGUCACCUCACUCUCUGCAGUGGAGGCUGGACAGGGCAUGGUGGCAGUCUUCACUCCUGGGGAGGGGAAGGUUACCAGUUACAGGGGGAAGUGACAUCAGGUGAACUCACAGUUACCAUGGAAACCAGCAGGGGGGCACGCCCCUCGCAGCCCUUUUGAUAAGCUCUUAUAUGGGAAAGAUGUUCUCUUUUUUUGUCUUUUUAGGGCCGCACCCGCGGCACACGGAGGUUCCCAGGCUAGGGGUCGAAUCGGAGCUGUAGCUGCUGGCCUACAUCAAAGCCACAGCAAUGCGGGAUCCGAGCCAUGUCUGUGACCUACACCACAGCUCAGGGCAAUGCUGGAUCACUUAACCCACUGAGUGAGGCCAAGGAUCAAACCCACAACCUCAUGGUUCCUAGUCAGAUUCGUUUCUGCUGCGCCACGACAGGAACUCCGAGAUGUUCUGAUCUAAAGGUCAGAACAGUCACUAGCUGGGACGGGGGCAAGUAUGUAGGAAGGUCGGUCAUGUGAGUAGGUGUAAGUGAAGCAGGCAGGGAUGGACAGAGAGCAAGAGGACAGCCAUGCUGGGUCGCCAUCUACCCACCCACUAAAAUCCAGCUUCAGAGUCAUCUCCUUGCAACCACUCAGCAGGAAUGAACCUCUCCUUCAUGUGAGUUCCCACAGCAAGAUCCCAGCAAGUUACAGUGAGGGUAAAUACCAGAGAUCAUCCAAACACCCAAAUCAACCCCUGAACAGUCCUAUUCUCCCGGGGCCUCAUUGCAUGUUAAGACUAAUUCAUUCAUACUGUGGUAAACAUGACUCAGGUUCCGUGAUGUGGGGCUUUAAAUAAAAUCUAUUGAGGGCCAAAAUGUGCACUACACACUUUUAUUUAUUUUAUCUGGUCCCUUCCUCUAUUUUCACUUCUAUACAGAUGAGGAAUCCAAACUCCGAGAGGUGAGGUCAUUUAUCCAAUAUCACACAGCUGGCCAAACUUCCCUUGCUCAUCAUUCCCACAGCCUACUCCCCCCCCCCACCUGUAGCAGGUGGAUCCUCCAGGACACAGUGGUGUACUGAAGGGGCUUGUGCAAAGUUACAGGAUAAACACUGGAUAUCCACCUGGGGCAUCCUUUUCACAUACUAGUAAGUCAUUUAAACACUAUUUGACAUCAAGAAUAUCUACAUUAAAACAGACCCAGAUGUUGCAUAUUAUGGGGUGGAAUUUUAAGAUUGCAUAAAUUUUAAAGAUGAAAUGCAAUGUCUUCAAUUGCAUUUUGCACCAGGGAAGGACUCUGAGCUGCACUCCAGCCCUCUCAGCUGGAACCCAUUCAGAGUCACAAGGACGACUUGGAUGGAAAAGCUCCCUCUAAUAUUGCAUUUUCCUUAGGGCAGAAACAUGGACAACAAUGGAUGAAGGCAGGUAGAAAAUAAGGACAAAGGCAGGACAAAGAAGUUUAAAAAUACAGACAUUCAGAGUUCCCUUUGUGGCACAGCGGAAACGAAUCCAAUUAGUAUUCAUGAGGAUGCAGGUUCGAUCCCUGGCCUCACUCAGUGGGUCAGGGAUCCAGCAUUGCCAUGAGCUGUGGUGUAGGCUGCAAAUGUGGCUUAGAUCCCAAGUUGCUGUGACUGUGGUGUAGGCUGGCAGCUGUAGCUCCGAUUGGACCCCUAGCCUGGGAACUUCCAUAUACUGCAGGUGCAGCCCUAAAAAUCAAAAGAUAAAAAUAAAAAUAAAAACCUAGACAUUCAAAGAAGUACUGAGGCCUGUGAGCAUCAGUGCUGAGACUAUGAGCCCUCCAUGCGUGUGGAGGAAGGGCAUGGUAAAAAGUCAUAUUCCUGAUACUGGGCCAUCCAAAACCAAACAGAAGGAGGACUCAGUGAUUUAUCGCAUUCUGUAUACU